UCCACACUUAGAUCCAUAGGCACAGGUCCUU
RNAcentral lists this non-coding RNA (31 nucleotides) under Homo sapiens (human). Lineage: Eukaryota; Metazoa; Chordata; Mammalia; Primates; Hominidae. The record is from RNAcentral.